RNAcentral lists this ribosomal RNA (330 nucleotides) under uncultured bacterium. Its description in RNAcentral is "bacterial SSU rRNA". It matches the Rfam family "Bacterial small subunit ribosomal RNA", at positions 568 to 898 of the family's 1533-position model. The record is from RNAcentral.
UUCGUAGGCGGUGUGGCAAGUUGGGAGUGAAAUCUCUGGGCUUAACCCAGAGGCUGCUUCCAAAACUGCUGUGCUUGAGUGUGGGAGAGGUGCGUGGAAUUGCAGGUGUAGCGGUGAAAUGCGUAGAUAUCUGCAGGAACACCCGUGGCGAAAGCGGCGCACUGGACCACAACUGACGCUGAGGAACGAAAGCUAGGGGAGCAAACAGGAUUAGAUACCCUGGUAGUCCUAGCCCUAAACGAUCAGGACUUGGGGUGGCUCACGUUCGUGAGUCGUCCCGGAGCUAACGCGUUAAGUCCUGCACCUGGGGAGUACGGUCGCAAGACUGAA